GAGGAACUAGGUGUGUGAGCAUUGCUUUCCUUGGGAUUCUUUUUUUUUUGGUACUUUCAACAUUUAAGCAUCUCAUUGAUUUGCAAUUUGGCAUUUAAAAUCUUUAAAAAUUUUAUUUAACAAAAUCUGAACCAGAUGAAUUAUAUGAAAACAUUUGCAUGAGAAAUUUGGAAGUCAGAACAGAAAAGCUAAAUAAAAUGAUGGUAGAUAGCUGAACACUGGUUUUUGUAAGGCAAAUCUAUUAGAAAAGGCACCUUGUUUGAUAUUUUUAGCAGUUUUGUGAAUAAUAGCAACAGGUGUCUUGUGCAUGUGCUCAUUUGAACAUGUUAUAGUAUUUUGGUUUGUAAGAGUAUUAAUAAAUGCAAUUAAACAUUAAAAUCGACAAUGGUAUUUUUUGAAAGCGAAUCAACAUAUGGCAUCUAGUAAUGGUACAAGAUAUUAUUUGAGCAGUUGUAGCACUUUUUGAUGAAGAACCAUUAAAGAGAACGAGUAUUUGAAGAAGUGGGAGUCCAAGAUAAAAUUCUUUUAUUGUAUAUGAAACACAUGCCAAUGAGCCCUUCCCCUUUUCUACCUUGACCAAAUAAGAAGGGGGCUUUGGGUUAGGAAAGAUGCUUGUUGACAAAUAUAAUAGUCAAAUUAGUGAAAAUACAAAAAAGUACCAUGUGCUGUGAGUUUAUGCUUUUAGACCUUAGAUCUUGUGUUUGUUUGUGUUUUAUAGGUCUCUUUCUUUCUUCUUAUUUAUUUAUUAUUUAUUUUUUACACUUGUGUCAUUAGCACCUAGGUGCCAAACUGAUUAACACUGUUAGUUCGGGAUAAGAUAACAAUGUGAUAAUGUGGCAUAGAUUGUUAUAAAAGAAUGACUUUUGGGUCUCUCUUUUAUAGUUAAGGUCUCUCUCUCUCUCUCU
This 905-nucleotide unclassified non-coding RNA is filed under the name Hevea brasiliensis (rubber tree). The record is from RNAcentral. Lineage: Eukaryota; Viridiplantae; Streptophyta; Magnoliopsida; Malpighiales; Euphorbiaceae.